This 499-nucleotide ribosomal RNA is filed under the name Staphylococcus aureus. RNAcentral's name for it is "bacterial SSU rRNA". It matches the Rfam family "Bacterial small subunit ribosomal RNA", at positions 92 to 578 of the family's 1533-position model. Lineage: Bacteria; Bacillati; Bacillota; Bacilli; Caryophanales; Staphylococcaceae. The record is from RNAcentral.
UUAGCGGCGGACGGGUGAGUAACACGUGGAUAACCUACCUAUAAGACUGGGAUAACUUCGGGAAACCGGAGCUAAUACCGGAUAAUAUUUUGAACCGCAUGGUUCAAAAGUGAAAGACGGUCUUGCUGUCACUUAUAGAUGGAUCCGCGCUGCAUUAGCUAGUUGGUAAGGUAACGGCUUACCAAGGCAACGAUGCAUAGCCGACCUGAGAGGGUGAUCGGCCACACUGGAACUGAGACACGGUCCAGACUCCUACGGGAGGCAGCAGUAGGGAAUCUUCCGCAAUGGGCGAAAGCCUGACGGAGCAACGCCGCGUGAGUGAUGAAGGUCUUCGGAUCGUAAAACUCUGUUAUUAGGGAAGAACAUAUGUGUAAGUAACUGUGCACAUCUUGACGGUACCUAAUCAGAAAGCCACGGCUAACUACGUGCCAGCAGCCGCGGUAAUACGUAGGUGGCAAGCGUUAUCCGGAAUUAUUGGGCGUAAAGCGCGCGUAGGCGG